AGCUCCAAUAGCGUAUAUUAAAGUUGUUGCAGUUAAAAAGCUCGUAGUCGGACUUCGGGCGUGCCGCACGACUCGGCCUCUGGUCGUGCUUGUGUGGUGCGCCUUCCUUCCAGCGAGUGCGUGGGCUCUUCACUGGGUUUGCGUAUGAGUUGGGAUGUUUACUGUGAACAAAUUAGAGUGUUCAAAGCAGGCUUAGGCCGUUGGAUACAUUAGCAUGGAAUAAUGAGAUAGGGCCACGGCGGUCUAUUUUGUUGGUUUGCACGUUGUGGUAAUGAUUAACAGGAACGGUUGGGGGUAUUCGUAUUCAAUUGUCAGAGGUGAAAUUCUUGGAUUUGUGGAAGACGAACUACUGCGAAAGCAUUUACCAAGGAUGUUUUCAUUAAUCAAGAACGAAAGUAGG
RNAcentral lists this ribosomal RNA (400 nucleotides) under phytoplankton environmental sample. Its description in RNAcentral is "partial small subunit ribosomal RNA". It matches the Rfam family "Eukaryotic small subunit ribosomal RNA", at positions 587 to 993 of the family's 1831-position model. The record is from RNAcentral.